UACGUAGGGUCCAAGCGUUAAUCGGAAUUACUGGGCGUAAAGCGUGCGUAGGCGGUUUCGCAAGUCCGAUGUGAAAUCCCCGGGCUUAACCUGGGAACUGCGUUGGAAACUACGAAGCUAGAGUGCGGCAGAGGGGGGUGGAAUUCCAGGUGUAGCAGUGAAAUGCGUAGAUAUCUGGAGGAACACCGGUGGCGAAGGCGGCAUCCUGGACCAAUUCUGACGCUGAGGAGCGAAAGCCAGGGGAGCAAACGGG
This 253-nucleotide ribosomal RNA is filed under the name uncultured bacterium. Its description in RNAcentral is "partial 16S ribosomal RNA". It matches the Rfam family "Bacterial small subunit ribosomal RNA", at positions 524 to 776 of the family's 1533-position model. The record is from RNAcentral.